Molecule: ribosomal RNA, 443 nt
Filed under: uncultured bacterium
Lineage: Bacteria
Description: partial 16S ribosomal RNA
Rfam family: Bacterial small subunit ribosomal RNA
Source: RNAcentral
CCUACGGGCGGCAGCAGUGGGGAAUAUUGGGCAAUGGAGGAAACUCUGAACCAGCAACGCCGCGUGAAUGAUGAAGGUCUUCGGAUUGUAAAGUUCUUUUCUAAGGGAAGAAGAAAGUGACGGUACCUUAGGAAUAAGCCUCGGCUAACUACGUGCCAGCAGCCGCGGUAAUACGUAGGAGGCAAGCGUUAUCCGGAAUGACUGGGCGUAAAGGGUGCGUAGGUGGUGUGGAAAGUUGGUAGCGUAACUCCGGGGCUCAACCUCGGCACUACUGCCGAAACGGUCGGACUUGAGUGCAGGAGGGGCAAGUGGAAUGCCUAGUGUAGCGGUGAAAUGCGUAGAUAUUAGGCGGAACACCAGUGGCGAAGGCGAUUUACUGGACUGUAACUGACGCUGAGGCACGAAAGCGUGGGGAGCAAACAGGAUUAGAUACCCUUGUAGUC